GUGAACGCCCUCACGGGCUUAUACUAUUCCAAACCUCUGUGAACCGUGCCCUUCGGGGCUAUUUUUACAACACAUGGUUGUAAUGAACGUCAUAUAUCAUAACAAAACA
Molecule: unclassified non-coding RNA, 109 nt
Filed under: soil metagenome
Description: partial internal transcribed spacer 1
Source: RNAcentral